GUUUAGGUAGCAUAAGGAAUGCAAAGGCCCUAAGCCCCUAAGAUCGGAGUUCAACCCUCCCCUAAACU
Molecule: transfer RNA, 68 nt
Filed under: Batrachomoeus trispinosus (three-spined frogfish)
Lineage: Eukaryota; Metazoa; Chordata; Actinopteri; Batrachoidiformes; Batrachoididae
Description: tRNA-Leu(UUR)
Rfam family: tRNA
About the family: Transfer RNA (tRNA) molecules are approximately 80 nucleotides in length. Their secondary structure includes four short double-helical elements and three loops (D, anti-codon, and T loops). Further hydrogen bonds mediate the characteristic L-shaped molecular structure. tRNAs have two regions of fundamental functional importance: the anti-codon, which is responsible for specific mRNA codon recognition, and the 3' end, to which the tRNAs corresponding amino acid is attached (by aminoacyl-tRNA synthetases). tRNAs cope with the degeneracy of the genetic code in two manners: having more than one tRNA (with a specific anti-codon) for a particular amino acid; and 'wobble' base-pairing, i.e. permitting non-standard base-pairing at the 3rd anti-codon position.
Source: RNAcentral